Molecule: ribosomal RNA, 442 nt
Filed under: uncultured bacterium
Lineage: Bacteria
Description: partial 16S ribosomal RNA
Rfam family: Bacterial small subunit ribosomal RNA
Source: RNAcentral
CCUACGGGAGGCAGCAGUGGGGAAUAUUGGGCAAUGGAGGAAACUCUGACCCAGCAAUGCCGCGUGAAUGAAGAAGGUCUUCGGAUUGUAAAGUUCUUUAGUCAGGGAAGAAUAAAAUGACGGUACCUGAAGAAUAAGCUCCGGCUAACUACGUGCCAGCAGCCGCGGUAAUACGUAGGGAGCAAGCGUUGUUCGGAUUUAUUGGGUUUAAAGGGUGCGUAGGCGGAAUGCCAAGUCAGCGGUAAAAUCGCGGGGCUCAACCUCGCUCCGCCGUUGAAACUGGCGUUCUUGAGUGGGCGAGAAGUAUGCGGAAUGCGUGGUGUAGCGGUGAAAUGCAUAGAUAUCACGCAGAACUCCGAUUGCGAAGGCAGCAUACCGGCGCCCAACUGACGCUGAAGCACGAAAGCGUGGGUAUCGAACAGGAUUAGAUACCCCUGUAGUC